GAUGAACGCUGGCGGCGUGCUUAACACAUGCAAGUCGAACGAAGCAUUUAAGACAGAUUACUUCGGUUUGAAGUCUUUUAUGACUGAGUGGCGGACGGGUGAGUAACGCGUGGGUAACCUGCCUCAUACAGGGGGAUAGCAGCUGGAAACGGCUGGUAAUACCGCAUAAGCGCACAGUACCACAUGGUACAGUGUGAAAAACUCCGGUGGUAUGAGAUGGACCCGCGUCUGAUUAGCUUGUUGGCGGGGUAACGGCCCACCAAGGCGACGAUCAGUAGCCGACCUGAGAGGGUGACCGGCCACAUUGGGACUGAGACACGGCCCAGACUCCUACGGGAGGCAGCAGUGGGGAAUAUUGCACAAUGGAGGAAACGCGGAUGCAGCGACGCCGCGUGAGUGAAGAAGUAGUUCGCUAUGUAAAGCUCUAUCAGCAGGGAAGAUAGGGACGGUACCUGACUAAGAAGCGCCGGCGAAAUACGU
Molecule: ribosomal RNA, 480 nt
Filed under: uncultured bacterium
Lineage: Bacteria
Description: partial 16S ribosomal RNA
Rfam family: Bacterial small subunit ribosomal RNA
Source: RNAcentral